This 378-nucleotide unclassified non-coding RNA is filed under the name plant metagenome. RNAcentral describes it as "partial contains 5.8S ribosomal RNA, internal transcribed spacer 2, and large subunit ribosomal RNA". The stretch from base 1 to 105 matches the Rfam family "5.8S ribosomal RNA", at positions 50 to 154 of the family's 154-position model. The record is from RNAcentral.
GAAAUGCGAUAAGUAAUGUGAAUUGCAGAAUUCAGUGAAUCAUCGAAUCUUUGAACGCACCUUGCGCUCCUUGGUAUUCCUUGGAGCAUGCCUGUUUGAGUAUCAUGAAAUCUUCAAAGUAAAUCUUUUGUUAACUCAAUUGGUUUCUACUUUGGUAUUGGAGGUCUUUGCAGCUUCACACCUGCUCCUCUUUGUUCAUUAGCUGGAUCUCAUUGUUAUGCUUGGUUCCACUCGGCGUGAUAAGUUAUCUAUCGCUGAGGACACUGUAAAAGGUGGCCAAGGUAAAUGCACAUGAACCGCUUCUAAUAGUCCAUUGACUUGGACAAUACUUUUAUGAUCUGAUCUCAAAUCAGGUAGGACUACCCGCUGAACUUAAGC